CAGCCUUUUAAAGCCUCCUGCUGGUUGAUGGCCACACUGGUGUAUGCCAUCUGAGGGCACAGCUGAAGGUAUGUGGAGCUGUUGCAGAGCAGCACAGGGAGUGGGGGGACACUCCCCAGCUCAGGCUGGAGCAGUUCACAAGUUGGAUUUUGGUUUUAGAGGCCAUGGGCAAGGUGCAGUAAGUUGUAGGCUAGCCGCCUUCCAAGGUGCUGCCAUCAUUGCCACUACGGGAAGCAGCAGUGGUGCUACAAAUAAACCUUGUAAAAUGACAAGCUAGGUAAACGCUGGUGAGAUGGAGGUAAGUGUUAUGGAAAUAGAUCAGUUUUCUGCAGCUUCUCACAGGGGAAAGCUGAAAAAGCACUCUGGCCCCUGCAGAGAUCGUUUUAGCUCCUCUGUAUUCAGAACAGUGUUUCCAUGCUUACAGAUCAGAGAUUGCUUUGGGAUAUGGCAUGAUAUAUGCUGCCUAAGGCCUUGACAUCUGAGCUGAGUAUCUUGUUAUAGGUAAUUGGAUAUUUUAUUAUAGCUAAUUGCGUGACUGCUAAUCAAUAGAAGGUGUGCUCUGAAAAGACAAUGGAGGUCCUAAAGCUCCUUCUGAAUCCUCAAUACCCUACUCCUUUCUCAAAUGCCGUCAGUGAGCGACAUUGCCACUUUGAAAAAUAUCGCCCACUUACUUCCUCAGUGAGAAUUGAGAAUCACAUUCAUGCUUAUCUUCAGGGAUCAUGGACAAGGACAGCCUAAAGUUUCACCAGGGCAUGCUGCAUGAAAACAUGGCAAGAAGACAACCUUCCGUUUCACCUUUUGUAAAUGUCUAUUUGUACCUUGUUGGCAACGGAGCGCCUCCUAAGGCUCGACAUAUGGUAUCAUCUGAAGCACAAAAUAAAAAUAUUUCCCCCAUCUGUACUCCUACGUGGUUUUGCUUGCCAAUUUCCACACUCAUGAAGGCAGAUUAUUUUAAUCUUACAUUAAAAAAAAAAAGCCUCAAAACAGUGUUCCAAAUCUACUUUCAAUUCUGUUUAUACAAAGUAUUUGAUCAGAAGAAAUACUUCCAGAGAGAAUCACAUUUACUCUUGGGCUAUUAUCCAAGACAUCGUUAGGAUGAAUAGUCUCUAACAUGGAAUUAAAUGCAAUUAAUGCCUAUGGCAAGGUUCAUUUACAUUCCCAUGAAAUAAAGAAAUCAUUCCUCCUGUAAUAAACCUACUC
This 1200-nucleotide long non-coding RNA is filed under the name Anas platyrhynchos platyrhynchos (common mallard). RNAcentral describes it as "lncRNA (ENSAPLG00000016608.1)". Lineage: Eukaryota; Metazoa; Chordata; Aves; Anseriformes; Anatidae. The record is from RNAcentral.